UGGGGUGACUGCGUACCUUUUGUAUAAUGGGUCAGCGACUUAUAUUCUGUAGCAAGGUUAACCGUAUAGGGGAGCCGUAGGGAAACCGAGUCUUAACUGGGCGAAUGAGUUGCAGGGUAUAGACCCGAAACCCGGUGAUCUAUCCAUGGGCAGGUUGAAGGUUGGGUAACACUAACUGGAGGACCGAACCGACUAAUGUUGAAAAAUUAGCGGAUGACUUGUGGAUGGGGGUGAAAGGCCAAUCAAACCGGGAGAUAGCUGGUUCUCCCCGAAAGCUAUUUAGGUAGCGCCUCGUGAACUCAUCUUCGGGGGUAGAGCACUGUUUCGACUAGGGGGUCAUCCCGACUUACCAACUCGAUGCAAACUGCGAAUACCGAAGAAUGUUAUCACGGGAGACACACGGCGGGUGCUAACGUCCGUCGUGAAGAGGGAAACAACCCAGACCGCCAGCUAAGGUCCCAAAGUCAUGGUUAAGUGGGAAACGAAGUGGGAAGGCUCAGACAGCCAGGAUGUUGGCUUAGAAGCAGCCAUCAUUUAAAGAAAGCGUAAUAGCUCACUGGUCGAGUCGGCCCGCGCGGAAGAUGUAACGGGGCUAAACCAUGCACCGAAGCUGCGGCAGCGAACACUAU
This 629-nucleotide ribosomal RNA is filed under the name Proteus mirabilis. RNAcentral describes it as "bacterial LSU rRNA". It matches the Rfam family "Bacterial large subunit ribosomal RNA", at positions 589 to 1218 of the family's 2925-position model. Lineage: Bacteria; Pseudomonadati; Pseudomonadota; Gammaproteobacteria; Enterobacterales; Morganellaceae. The record is from RNAcentral.